GGACUACCGGGGUAUCUAAUCCCGUUCGCUCCCCUGGCUUUCGCGCUUGAGUGUCAGUAUCGGCCCAGUGACCCGCCUUCGCAUCUGGUGUUCCUCCCAAUAUCUACGCAUUUCACCGCUACACUGGGAAUUCCAGUCACCUCUUCCGUACUCUAGUUUGGCAGUAUCAAAUGCAGUUCCCAAGUUGAGCCCGGGGCUUUCACACCUGACUUGCCAGACCACCUUCACGCGCUUUACGCCCAGUAAUUCCGAACAACGCUUGCCCCCUACGUAUUACCGCGGCUGCUGGCAC
Molecule: ribosomal RNA, 292 nt
Filed under: uncultured Acidobacteriota bacterium
Lineage: Bacteria; Pseudomonadati; Acidobacteriota
Description: uncultured Acidobacteria bacterium partial 16S ribosomal RNA
Source: RNAcentral